This 270-nucleotide ribosomal RNA is filed under the name uncultured archaeon. Its description in RNAcentral is "partial 16S ribosomal RNA". It matches the Rfam family "Archaeal small subunit ribosomal RNA", at positions 477 to 747 of the family's 1478-position model. The record is from RNAcentral.
CAGCACCUCAAGUGGUCAGGAUGAUUAUUGGGCCUAAAGCAUCCGUAGCCUGCUUUGUCAGUUUUCGGAUAAAUCCAUACGCUCAACGUAUGGGCUGCCGGGAAUACUGCAAAGCUAGGGAGUGGGAGAGGUAGACGGUACUCGGUAGGAAGGGGUAAAAUCCUUUGAUCUAUUGAUGACCACCUGUGGCGAAGGCGGUCUACCAGAACACGUCCGACGGUGAGGGAUGAAAGCUGGGGGAGCAAACCGGAUUAGAGACCCGCGUAGUCC